AGAGGCUUAGGAUAAUUUCAAACCAAGGGCCUUCAAAGCUCUAAACAGGGGUUGUAACCCCUAGCCUCUG
Molecule: transfer RNA, 70 nt
Filed under: Sceloporus undulatus (fence lizard)
Lineage: Eukaryota; Metazoa; Chordata; Lepidosauria; Squamata; Phrynosomatidae
Description: tRNA-Trp
Rfam family: tRNA
About the family: Transfer RNA (tRNA) molecules are approximately 80 nucleotides in length.
Source: RNAcentral